RNAcentral lists this ribosomal RNA (314 nucleotides) under Gibbsiella quercinecans. RNAcentral describes it as "bacterial SSU rRNA". It matches the Rfam family "Bacterial small subunit ribosomal RNA", at positions 1 to 309 of the family's 1533-position model. Lineage: Bacteria; Pseudomonadati; Pseudomonadota; Gammaproteobacteria; Enterobacterales; Yersiniaceae. The record is from RNAcentral.
UUUAAUUGAAGAGUUUGAUCAUGGCUCAGAUUGAACGCUGGCGGCAGGCCUAACACAUGCAAGUCGAGCGGCAGCGGGAGGAAGCUUGCUUCCUCGCCGGCGAGCGGCGGACGGGUGAGUAAUGUCUGGGAAACUGCCCGAUGGAGGGGGAUAACUACUGGAAACGGUAGCUAAUACCGCAUAACGUCGCAAGACCAAAGUGGGGGACCUUCGGGCCUCACACCAUCGGAUGUGCCCAGAUGGGAUUAGCUAGUAGGUGGGGUAAUGGCUCACCUAGGCGACGAUCCCUAGCUGGUCUGAGAGGAUGACCAGCC